ACGAACGCUGGCGGCGUGCCUAAUACAUGCAAGUAGAACGCUGAAGAGAGGAGCUUGCUCUUCUUGGAUGAGUUGCGAACGGGUGAGUAACGCGUAGGUAACCUGCCUUGUAGCGGGGGAUAACUAUUGGAAACGAUAGCUAAUACCGCAUAACAAUGGAUGACACAUGUCAUUUAUUUGAAAGGGGCAAUUGCUCCACUACAAGAUGGACCUGCGUUGUAUUAGCUAGUAGGUGAGGUAAUGGCUCACCUAGGCGACGAUACAUAGCCGACCUGAGAGGGUGAUCGGCCACACUGGGACUGAGACACGGCCCAGACUCCUACGGGAGGCAGCAGUAGGGAAUCUUCGGCAAUGGGGGCAACCCUGACCGAGCAACGCCGCGUGAGUGAAGAAGGUUUUCGGAUCGUAAAGCUCUGUUGUAAGCCGAGAACGGGUGUGAGAGUGGAAAGUUCACACUGUGACGGUAGCUUACCAGAAAGGGACGGCUAACUACGUG
Molecule: ribosomal RNA, 496 nt
Filed under: uncultured bacterium
Lineage: Bacteria
Description: partial 16S ribosomal RNA
Rfam family: Bacterial small subunit ribosomal RNA
Source: RNAcentral